Molecule: ribosomal RNA, 869 nt
Filed under: Microbacterium sp. S42
Lineage: Bacteria; Bacillati; Actinomycetota; Actinomycetes; Micrococcales; Microbacteriaceae
Description: bacterial SSU rRNA
Rfam family: Bacterial small subunit ribosomal RNA
Source: RNAcentral
AGCUUGCGUGGUGGAUCAGUGGCGAACGGGUGAGUAACACGUGAGCAACCUGCCCUGGACUCUGGGAUAAGCGCUGGAAACGGCGUCUAAUACUGGAUAUGAGACGUGAUCGCAUGGUCGUGUUUGGAAAGAUUUUUCGGUCUGGGAUGGGCUCGCGGCCUAUCAGCUUGUUGGUGAGGUAAUGGCUCACCAAGGCGUCGACGGGUAGCCGGCCUGAGAGGGUGACCGGCCACACUGGGACUGAGACACGGCCCAGACUCCUACGGGAGGCAGCAGUGGGGAAUAUUGCACAAUGGGCGAAAGCCUGAUGCAGCAACGCCGCGUGAGGGAUGACGGCCUUCGGGUUGUAAACCUCUUUUAGCAGGGAAGAAGCGAAAGUGACGGUACCUGCAGAAAAAGCGCCGGCUAACUACGUGCCAGCAGCCGCGGUAAUACGUAGGGCGCAAGCGUUAUCCGGAAUUAUUGGGCGUAAAGAGCUCGUAGGCGGUUUGUCGCGUCUGCUGUGAAAUCCCGAGGCUCAACCUCGGGCCUGCAGUGGGUACGGGCAGACUAGAGUGCGGUAGGGGAGAUUGGAAUUCCUGGUGUAGCGGUGGAAUGCGCAGAUAUCAGGAGGAACACCGAUGGCGAAGGCAGAUCUCUGGGCCGUAACUGACGCUGAGGAGCGAAAGGGUGGGGAGCAAACAGGCUUAGAUACCCUGGUAGUCCACCCCGUAAACGUUGGGAACUAGUUGUGGGGACCAUUCCACGGUUUCCGUGACGCAGCUAACGCAUUAAGUUCCCCGCCUGGGGAGUACGGCCGCAAGGCUAAAACUCAAGGAAUUGACGGGGACCCGCACAAGCGGCGGAGCAUGCGGAUUAAUUCGAUGCCA